Long non-coding RNA from Astatotilapia calliptera (eastern happy), 1225 nucleotides. Lineage: Eukaryota; Metazoa; Chordata; Actinopteri; Cichliformes; Cichlidae. The record is from Ensembl.
CUGUGGGAUACUGUUAGUCCGUGAUUUGAACCAGGGAAAGAAAUCGUGGCAGGAUCAGCCUGAUAUUAUUUGUAUCCUGCUGUAACUUUACUGUAUACAGAGCUAACAUCUCCAAAAUGUCAGGAGUAGUUAGUCAUUACAAGUGUUUGUGAACUAAAAAUCAAGAAUGUGGAAUACUAUUUGUCCGUGAUUUGGAGAGCCCAGCGCUGCUCCCGAUGAAGGGAAAACCAAUUCUGCAGGGGAGACCUACCUCGGCACUUGUGCAGGUGAAACCAAAGGGAAGAUUUGCUUCACCAUAUUUUCUAGUCUUUGGCUUAGAAUGAAAUUGGUUUGGAAACAUUCAGCUAUGCUUCAUCUCCUGCUUUGCGUUUGUGUGGGCGCCCCGUGCUAGCAGUGUCCAAGCGUUUUGGGUUUUUUUCCCUUUUCAUACAUUUUUACCCAGACAACUUUCUCUCACCGGAUAUUUUAUUUUUUUCUUCCCGGUCUUUGUAAAUCAUAGAGAUGGCUAUGUGGGAAAAAACUACAGUUCAUCGCAAAUGAAGUGGCUGGUGACUGAUGGGUUUUUGUUUUGUUUUGUUUUUUUAACACCUAUGGGACACAAUCACAAUUUGUGUUUUCCACUUCUGUCCUGUCUUUAUUGUAGAUGCUUUUGAAAACUCAUGCGUGUCAACACGGGGUUGAUUUUACAGAAUGUUUCACUCGAUAUAUUAAAGAGAACAAUUUAAACAGUGAAGUGCACAAAACUAAAUGGCAUCACACAUAUUUUCACUUUUUUUGAUUUUGAAGAUUUAUGUCUUCUGACUUAGAGAUGAGCGCUACAGAGAGUAUGGAAAUCAAUAAGUAUGGAGAGUCAGAUAAACACGUUGUUGCACUGUUUCCUUGCUGAGAGCUGUGAUUUCUGUAAUUCCUGUAAUCACCGUGAGAUGGACAAACAUGCAGCAAAGAACUUUUCCAGCACAGAACACCUCAUGAAAUCACAAUCUGGCUUUUACUCACAGUUGUUGUUGCCUGCCUACCACUCUGUAAGUUAAAUAUUUAGGUAGAUUAAACCUAGGGCAGCUAUUUGGUGUCCAGGGUAAAAGAUGUUGCUUUUGUGGGCUAACCACACACAGAAAGCAGAAAGCAUACUGGCUUGAAGUAAGUUCAAGUAACUGUUGUAUUCAUGGUGUCCUCCUACAUUCUCAGCUCUUCUUUGCUCAUGCUUCCUUAUCCUGGCUCAUCUUCU